RNAcentral lists this ribosomal RNA (478 nucleotides) under Dichaetophora sp. XM1 (Gao). RNAcentral's name for it is "partial 28S ribosomal RNA". It matches the Rfam family "Eukaryotic large subunit ribosomal RNA", at positions 1508 to 1897 of the family's 3401-position model. The record is from RNAcentral. Lineage: Eukaryota; Metazoa; Arthropoda; Insecta; Diptera; Drosophilidae.
UUCGUGUGAACAGUGGUUGAUCACGAGUUAGUCGGUCCUAAGUUCAAGGCGAAAGCCGAAAAUUUUCAAGUAAAAUGAAAAACAAAUAAAUGCCAAAUAUAAAUUAUAUAUGUCAGAAAAAUAAAACACUUGAAUAAUUUUGAACGAAAGGGAAUACGGUUCCAAUUCCGUAACCUGUUGAGUAUCCGUUUGUUAUUAAAUAUGGGCCUCGUGCUCAUCCUGGCAACAGGAACGACCAUAAAGAAGCCGUCGAGAGAUAUCGGAAGAGUUUUCUUUUCUGUUUUAUAGCCGUACUACCAUGGAAGUCUUUCGCAGAGAGAUAUGGUAGAUGGGCUAGAAGAGCAUGACAUAUACUGUUGUGUCGAUAUUUUCUCCUCGGACCUUGAAAAUUUAUGGUGGGGAUACGCAAACUUCUCAACAGGCCGUACCAAUAUCCGCAGCUGGUCUCCAAGGUGAAGAGUCUCUAGUCGAUAGAAUA